RNAcentral lists this ribosomal RNA (471 nucleotides) under uncultured bacterium. RNAcentral describes it as "SSU rRNA". It matches the Rfam family "Bacterial small subunit ribosomal RNA", at positions 26 to 518 of the family's 1533-position model. The record is from RNAcentral.
AGGACGAACGCUGGCGGCGUGCUUAACACAUGCAAGUCGAGCGGAAAGGCCCUUCGGGGUACUCGAGCGGCGAACGGGUGAGUAACACGUGAGCAACCUGCCCUUGGCUCUGGGAUAGCCUCCGGAAACGGGGAUUAAUACCGGACAUUCACUGACCCCUGCAUGGGGGAUGGUGGAAAGUUUUUCGGCCAGGGAGGGGCUCGCGGCCUAUCAGCUUGUUGGCGGGGUAACGGCCCACCAAGGCGACGACGGGUAGCCGGCCUGAGAGGGCGAUCGGCCACACUGGGACUGAGACACGGCCCAGACUCCUACGGGAGGCAGCAGUGGGGAAUAUUGCACAAUGGGCGCAAGCCUGAUGCAGCGACGCCGCGUGGGGGAUGAAGGCCUUCGGGUUGUAAACCCCUUUCACCAGGAACGAAUUCAGACGGUACCUGGGGAAGAAGCGCCGGCUAACUACGUGCCAGCAGCCGC